AACGAACGCUGGCGGCAUGCCUAACACAUGCAAGUCGAACGAGACCUUCGGGUCUAGUGGCGCACGGGUGCGUAACGCGUGGGAACCUUCCCUUAUGUUCGGAAUAACUCCCCGAAAGGGGUGCUAAUACCGGAUAAUGUCUUCUGACCAAAGAUUUAUCGCGUUUGGAUGGGCCCGCGUUGGAUUAGCUAGUUGGUAGGGUAAAAGCCUAACAAGGGGUCGAUCCAUAGCUGGUCUGAGAGGAAGAUCAGCAACACUGAGACUGAGACACGGCCCAGACUCCUACGGAAGGCAGCAGUGGGGAAUAGUGGACCAUGGGCGGAAGGCUGAUCCAGCAAUGCCGGGUAAGUGAUGAAGGCCUUAGGGUAGUAAAGCUCUUUUAACCGGGAUGAUAAUGACGGUACCGGGAGAAUAAGCCCCGGCUAACUCCGUG
RNAcentral lists this ribosomal RNA (433 nucleotides) under uncultured bacterium. Its description in RNAcentral is "partial 16S ribosomal RNA". It matches the Rfam family "Bacterial small subunit ribosomal RNA", at positions 29 to 507 of the family's 1533-position model. The record is from RNAcentral.